This 447-nucleotide ribosomal RNA is filed under the name uncultured Chloroflexota bacterium. RNAcentral describes it as "bacterial SSU rRNA". It matches the Rfam family "Bacterial small subunit ribosomal RNA", at positions 925 to 1382 of the family's 1533-position model. Lineage: Bacteria; Bacillati; Chloroflexota. The record is from RNAcentral.
ACAAGCAGCGGAGCGUGUGGUUUAAUUCGAUGCAACGCGUAAGAACCUUACAGGGUUUGACAUGCUUAAAGUAGAAACUCGAAAGAGGGACGACCUGUAUCCAAUCAGGAAUUUGCACAGGUGCUGCAUGGCUGUCGUCAGCUCGUGCCGUGAGGGUGUUACGGUUAAGUCCUGCAACGAGCGCAACCCUCGUCGCUAGUUAAUUUCUCUAGCGAUACUGCCCGUAUAACGCGGAGGAAGUGGGGAUGACGUCAAGUCAGCAUGGCCCUUACAUCCUGGGCUACACACACGCUACAAUGGGUGAUACAACAGGUAGCAAAAGAACAAUCUGGAGCCAAUCCAAAAAAUCAUCCUCAGUUCGGAUUGCAGGCUGCAACUGCCUGCAUGAAGUUGGAGUUGCUAGUAAACGCAGGUCAGCACACUGCGUUGAAUACGUUCUCGGGCCUU